Molecule: long non-coding RNA, 188 nt
Organism: Nothoprocta perdicaria
Lineage: Eukaryota; Metazoa; Chordata; Aves; Tinamiformes; Tinamidae
Exons: 2
Source: RefSeq, a predicted model, not a curated record
GGAAUUGAAAGUAAGAGGCUUGUGCAACUUCACUGAAGUCAACAGGGUGACAGUCAUAACUGCUGGAAAACUCAGUCUGCUGUUGCUGGCUUGAGCCAAAUUGAAGAUUUUGGUUCACAGCGUCAGCAGAAGAACUUGAUAAGCUGGAUCUGCACUGCCAGCAGGAGAGGAUCUUCCCCUGACUUCUA